This 73-nucleotide transfer RNA is filed under the name Canis lupus familiaris (dog). It matches the Rfam family "tRNA". From Rfam's summary of the family: Transfer RNA (tRNA) molecules are approximately 80 nucleotides in length. Lineage: Eukaryota; Metazoa; Chordata; Mammalia; Carnivora; Canidae. The record is from Rfam by way of RNAcentral. RNAcentral also lists the same sequence under 1 other name.
ACCUGGCUGGCUUUGUCAGUGGAACAUGAGACUCUUGAUCUCAGGGUCGUAGGUUCAAGCCCCACGUUGGGUG